Octopus bimaculoides (California two-spot octopus) is the source of this 3220-nucleotide long non-coding RNA. RefSeq lists it as uncharacterized. The record is from RefSeq and is a predicted model, not a curated record. NCBI's taxonomy places the organism in Eukaryota, Metazoa, Mollusca, Cephalopoda, Octopoda, Octopodidae.
GUCCUAUGGUGAUGGAAGAGUAGUGACAUGUGCAGACUUAACCAGCUGCAAGUGCACAGUAAUUACAUCUGUCAUCUGUCACCUACGCUUCAAGCCAUACAGAUCUGAAACAGGAACUGAAUAGUCAUCUCAGAAAUUAUGAAUGGAAAGUCAGAAAUGCUAUUGAUGACAGAGCACAAGGAGAAGGCAAUCAUUUGUUAAGUUGGAGCAAUGACCAAGAGGAAUGCAAGGUGCUAUUUCUGUCUUAAUAAGUCAUGUUGUGGUCUGAAGAUUAUGACAAAAAUGAGUGAACGACGCCAUCGUCAAAUGAAGAAUCCUCCAGCCAAAGAAAUGAGAACAUAUGCGAUCGUUCGACAUGUUAGACAUAGUAGCUAAAUUUCCCUCAAACACAGAAUGUAUUCCAGCGAUUACAUUAACGAUGUGUCUUUUUUGUUUUAUUUUUAAGAGUAAGUCGUAAGAAAGGAAGGAAGGGUACAUACAAUAAUGUAGUCUGAAGUAUUAUAUACCUCGGUAAAGAAAAGGUAAAAAUUGACCUAAUGGUCAUUAUUGAAUGUCUUUGAUUACAGGUCAAUUCGAUGACAUGAAGCUUAAUAACAAAAAAAAAAACUGAACAGCGAGACAACGAGGUAAGUUUCUGGGCCAGUGGGUCUCAAUUAGGAGGAAUAGUAUUCCCACGGGUAAACAUUUACAUGGCAAGGGGUAAAUAUAUCAUACCUGAAAAUUAAGUAUUAAUUCUGUUAAAACCUUAACAAUAAAGUUGUUCCGUCUUCGUUUUCCUAUGUCUUUAUGCCGGCUGCGCAUUUUUUUUUUAUAUACAUUAAAGAAAGGAGGUAAAUGGCGAAAUACAUUAAGCUAAGGGUGAAUGACAGAGGAAGGGGUUGAGAAUCACUAAUUUACCUGUCACUCAACGUGCUAGAAAUAACAGCUGAAUCCCCUUCCCGAAUGAAUCUGAUUAAAGGGAAGGACACGUAAAUAACGCAGUCCUAGAUGCACUCAUUGUAAGCGAUAUAGUCACGGUUGGAACGUCUUUGAUUAUAAAUCUGCUAAAUCAAGGCCGACCUGCGGUUAAACUGUUAUUGUUAAUAUUUAACAAUAACUUUCGUUUUCCGCUUAAUUUUUUUUUCUGACAGGUUUUGUCUAGUUUUCACAUUAACCGAAAUAUAGUUAAAUGUCGAAGUAGCAUUCUAAUGUUUUACUCUUAAUUAUUAAAUGCAUUAUUCAUUUUUCUGCUUUUCCAUUUUUUUUAGUAAGGAAGGAAAAAAAUUGCCCUUGAUUAAUAAUAAGAAUUCGUUAUUGAACCUUAAAAGACGAUAGCUUAAUUGAAAAUUAACUCAAUUAUAUCUCAAUUAAAAAAAAAAAAGGCCUAGUAGAGUCGUCUACAAACUAUAUAUUCAAAUUAUAAGCUAUCGUUCUUAAAAUUUUACAAACUCUUAUAUUAACUUUAUAUUUUCAUCAUAACUUUAGCUCAAUUAUGAAAGUAGCUUUCGUACUGCCGUAGGUGUAGUAGUUAUUUAGUGAGAGGGUUUUAAACUAUUUCAUUCGCACGCAUAAGACCUUAGCAUAUCCAAUGAGUCAUUUAUGCGCGCGAACGCUGUCCACUUAUCUACUCGGUUGAUGAAUAAUCAGAACAGAAAGGACAUUGAGUACUGAGUUGUUUCUACAUUCUUAAAUUGUAUUUAUCUGUGUUCCAUACAUCUUCAAAAAAUAUUUGGUAAAAAUAUCAAUAAUAAAGAUAUUGUUUAAUUAAAACUGAGGUUUAAUUCCCCCCCCCCUUCUUUUUCUCAGCCACAAAAUUUCCUCUGGUUAAUUUGACCCCCAUUUACUUUUUUUUUUUUUCCGUAUCGAAUAUUUCCAUCGAACAUAGGCUACUACUGUCCAAACACAUGCAAAGAGAUGCUACGUCUGUCAUUUAGUAGGAACAGCGGUUUUGCACUCAGUAUCCUAGCACCUCCCUUCCACGAAUACAAAUCGAACGAUGACAAGUACCAUGGAUGAAUAUGCUGGCUUCUGUUCUAGAGCCUCAUUUACUUAUAUGUAUAUUAAUUAUAAUUAAAUAUUUUAGAUCCUUUAUAAGUUUUCUAAUUUUGUAUAAAAUCUAUAGGGAUAAUUAAAUUCGGUAAUUAUAUGUUUAUUCCAACGACAUAAACUGAUGAAAAGAAUAUCUAACGUAGUAUGCUUUCAUGUAGUCGCUCGACUUCGUAGCAAUCAUUUUCUUCAACUCAAUCCCUUCCGCAUGGAAAAAGGGACCAGUUACAUUACGGAAGUGAAAUAUUUAACUGCAUAGCAAGAAAGAAGAAAGGAUAGCCACAUAAAAUAUCGGUCGAACGAUAGAAAAUUCGACACCACCCACAUAUAUCAACAUGUAUUACAAAGACAGGACGAUUAAGGUUGGAACGUAUUUAAUCAUAGUUUUGUUCAGUCAGAGCUGACUUGAGGUUAAACAACAACAUUUGUAGUCUUUAAUAAAACGAAGACAGUAUAUCCAGAGUUCUGGAUCUGUACGAUUACCCCAGACGAUCGACCAACUAUCUACAAAUGAUAGUUCUACAUAAGCAGGACAAACCGCGUAGGGGGAGGGUUAACAACAGCUAAGGAAAAUCAAUUGCUGGAUGAGUUAUUCGAGGCGUGGUUAUUGGUAGGCGAAAACGAUGCUUAAUAGACUCGAAAGUACUUCUUUGAUAAAGAUUUUCUGAUUAAAAUUAAAAGAAUAAAUCAAAUUAAUGCUAAGUAGUUUUUUAAAUUUUGUAUUUAUCCUUGGGCUUAAAGUUAUGCCAUUCAUACACAGGUUAGAAUUAGUUGCAGAAUUUUACUCUCCAUCUCCAUCACUCAUAGAAUCGGCAUCAAUGUAUGGUGGAGUGAGGUGUCGGUGUGAAAAGUCUCAAUUCUGGGGCAACUUCAUGGAAUGUCAUGAACGAAAUGCAGGUCACUUCGAUAUGCUUACUAAGGUAAAUUUAACUUUGAAGUGGACCCUUGAAAAAAAAAAAAUCCCUUCAGUUCUGAAGCCUGUGGGAUUAUCCAGGGAUGAUGAAAAAAAAAAGCCUGCUAGGCUAGAGAUAGAUGCUUUAUAUGGGAUGCUACAAUGAGUGAUUCUUUCAUUCACAUAUUCUAAAUGCUGAGAUGCUUUUUAGAUUUUAUAUCAUCUUCAUCUAUAAUCCACAUCUAUUCAAAUACUAAAUAUUUGACCGAACUAUCGAUAAUAAAAACAGUAUGUAAGACUUGA